This 448-nucleotide ribosomal RNA is filed under the name uncultured bacterium. RNAcentral describes it as "partial 16S ribosomal RNA". It matches the Rfam family "Bacterial small subunit ribosomal RNA", at positions 328 to 792 of the family's 1533-position model. The record is from RNAcentral.
GGACCAGACUCCUACGGGAGGCAGCAGUGGGGGAUAUUGCACAAUGGGGGGAACCCUGAUGCAGCGACGCCGCGUGGGUGAAGGAGCGUUUCGGCGCGUAAAGCCCUAUCGGCAGGGAAGAAGGAGGACGGUACCUGACUAAGAAGCACCAGCUAACUCCGUGCCAGCAGCCGCGGUAAUACGGAGGGUGCGAGCGUUAAUCGGAAUUACUGGGCGUAAAGCGCUCGUAGGCGGUAUGUCAAGUCAAGGGUGAAAUCCCCGCGCUCAACGUGGGAACUGCCUUUGAAACUGGCAAACUGGAGUGUGUGAGAGGAUAGUGGAAUUCCAGGUGUAGGAGUGAAAUCCGUAGAUAUCUGGAGGAACAUCAGUGGCGAAGGCGACUAUCUGGCACAUAACUGGCGCUGAGGAGCGAAAGCGUGGGUAGCAAACAGGAUUAGAUACCCUUGUA